Molecule: non-coding RNA, 101 nt
Filed under: Carnobacterium sp.
Lineage: Bacteria; Bacillati; Bacillota; Bacilli; Lactobacillales; Carnobacteriaceae
Description: Guanine sequence
Rfam family: Purine riboswitch aptamer
About the family: Riboswitches are metabolite binding domains within certain messenger RNAs that serve as precision sensors for their corresponding targets. Allosteric rearrangement of mRNA structure is mediated by ligand binding, and this results in modulation of gene expression.
Source: RNAcentral
GAAGACAAAUAAAUACAAUCUAAUAUAAUCUAAGCGAUAUGGGCUUUAAGUUUCUACCGGACACCGUAAAACGUUCGACUAUUAGUGAGAUGAGUUUUUUG